Molecule: ribosomal RNA, 448 nt
Filed under: Mycobacteriaceae bacterium Ellin7054
Lineage: Bacteria; Bacillati; Actinomycetota; Actinomycetes; Mycobacteriales; Mycobacteriaceae
Description: bacterial SSU rRNA
Rfam family: Bacterial small subunit ribosomal RNA
Source: RNAcentral
GACGAACGCUGGCGGCGUGCUUAACACAUGCAAGUCGAACGGAAAGGCCUCUUCGGAGGUACUCGAGUGGCGAACGGGUGAGUAACACGUGGGCAAUCUGCCCUGCACUUCGGGAUAAGCCUGGGAAACUGGGUCUAAUACCGGAUAGGACCUUAAGACGCAUGUCUUUUGGUGGAAAGCUUUUGCGGUGUGGGAUGGGCCCGCGGCCUAUCAGCUUGUUGGUGGGGUGACGGCCUACCAAGGCGACGACGGGUAGCCGGCCUGAGAGGGUGUCCGGCCACACUGGGACUGAGAUACGGCCCAGACUCCUACGGGAGGCAGCAGUGGGGAAUAUUGCACAAUGGGCGCAAGCCUGAUGCAGCGACGCCGCGUGGGGGAUGACGGCCUUCGGGUUGUAAACCUCUUUCACCAUCGACGAAGGUCCGGGUUUUCCCGGAUAGACGGUAGG